CCUACGGGAGGCUGCAGUGAGGAAUAUUGGUCAAUGGACGAGAGUCUGAACCAGCCAAGUAGCGUGAAGGAUGACUGCCCUAUGGGUUGUAAACUUCUUUUAUAAAGGAAUAAAACGAGGCACGUGUGCCUUUUUGCAUGUACUUUAUGAAUAAGGAUCGGCUAACUCCGUGCCAGCAGCCGCGGUAAUACGGAGGAUCCGAGCGUUAUCCGGAUUUAUUGGGUUUAAAGGGAGCGUAGAUGGGUUGUUAAGUCAGUUGUGAAAGUUUGCGGCUCAACCGUAAAAUUGCAAUUGAUACUGGCAGUCGUGAGUACAGUUGAGGUAGGCGGAAUUCGUGGUGGAGCGGUGAAAUGCUUAGAUAUCACGAAGAACCCCGAUUGCGAAGGCAGCUUACUAAACUGUGACUGACAUUGAUGCUCGAAAGUGUGGGUAUCAAACAGGAUUAGAUACCCCUGUAGUC
RNAcentral lists this ribosomal RNA (460 nucleotides) under uncultured bacterium. RNAcentral describes it as "partial 16S ribosomal RNA". It matches the Rfam family "Bacterial small subunit ribosomal RNA", at positions 338 to 795 of the family's 1533-position model. The record is from RNAcentral.